RNAcentral lists this ribosomal RNA (558 nucleotides) under uncultured bacterium. Its description in RNAcentral is "bacterial SSU rRNA". It matches the Rfam family "Bacterial small subunit ribosomal RNA", at positions 8 to 524 of the family's 1533-position model. The record is from RNAcentral.
AGGGUUUGAUUAUGGCUCAGGAUGAACGCUGGCGGUAUGCCUAAUACAUGCAAGUCGAACGGACUGACCCUGAACUAUGGAAGUGCUUGCACAGAAGUAGGGAAGGAAUUUUCAGUUAGUGGCGGACGGGUGAGUAACACGUAGGUAAUCUACCUCAUGGACUGGGACAACUGUUGGAAACGGCAGCUAAUACCGGAUGAAAUUACAAAUCGCAUGAUAUGUAAUUAAAAGUUGGGCUACAACGCUAUGAGAUGAGCCUGCGGUGCAUUAGCUAGUUGGUAAGGUAAAAGCUUACCAAGGCGACGAUGCAUAGCCGGACUGAGAGGUUGAACGGCCACACUGGGACUGAGGCACGGCCCAGACUCCUACGGGAGGCAGCAGUAGGGAAUUUUUCGCAAUGGAGGAAACUCUGACGGAGCAAUACCGCGUGAGGGAAGAAGAUUUUCGGAUUGUAAACCUCUGUUGUAAGGGAAGAACGACAUUAGGAAGGAAAAUCUAAUGAGUGACGGUACCUUACCAGAAAGGGACGGCUAACUACGUGCCAGCAGCCGCGGUAAU